Long non-coding RNA from Balaenoptera ricei (Rice's whale), 563 nucleotides. RefSeq lists it as uncharacterized. Lineage: Eukaryota; Metazoa; Chordata; Mammalia; Artiodactyla; Balaenopteridae. The transcript has 4 exons. The record is from RefSeq and is a predicted model, not a curated record.
CCUUGACAUGACCAGAAACUUUCCCGAGACUUGGCCUCCAGUUACAGAAGGAGUCACCCCCCUGCAAUCCCACAGCUCUGAAAGCCCCCAGCUGUAUAACGUUUGGGUCCAGAAGGAAACUUUGAUCCACAGAGGCUUUCCUUGUCCUGCUCUCUAACACCUUCUGGUGUCUGGAAGAGGGGCAGACUGGAGGAUUCUGAAGAGUUCGAGGUUUUAUAACUACCCAGCAGCACAUGAAAGAGGCCUCUUUCAGCAAGUAUUCUUGAUUAAGUCAUGAAAAUGGAAUUGAAGCUCAUCCUUCCCCUUCAUGUGAUUCCUUAGUGAGUGGCAUCUGCGCAGAAAACUGACAUGUGGACGCUGAAAAGCCAUGGCCACAUACAAGAAAGAUUUCCAAAUGCCAGAUUGCUGUGCAGUGGUACUUCUCUUCAUCCCAGACGCCCUAGUUGGAAGCAUCCACCCCUUUGGGCCUGGACACUGACUGUCUUUAAUUGGAAAAACUUAGUAUCACUUUGCAAGUGAUUAGAACUGAGUCAUCUGAAGCGAGCGAAAUUGGCUUUUGAGGA